GAGAGGUGCUGCAUGGCUGUCGUCAGCUCGUGUUGUGAAAUGUUGGGUUAAGUCUCGCAACGAGCGCAACCCCUAUCGUCUGUUGCCAGCAUUAAGUUGGGCACUCUGACGAGACUGCCUGGGUUAACCAGGAGGAAGGUGGGGAUGACGUCAAGUCCUCAUGGCCCUUAUGUCUAGGGCUACACACGUAAUACAAUGGCGCGUACAGAGGGAAGCGAACCUGCGAAGGGGAGCAAAUCUCAAAAAGCGCGUCUCAGUUCGGAUUGGAGUCUGCAACUCGACUCCAUGAAGUUGGAAUCGCUAGUA
This 306-nucleotide ribosomal RNA is filed under the name uncultured Peredibacter sp. RNAcentral describes it as "bacterial SSU rRNA". It matches the Rfam family "Bacterial small subunit ribosomal RNA", at positions 1033 to 1340 of the family's 1533-position model. The record is from RNAcentral. Lineage: Bacteria; Pseudomonadati; Bdellovibrionota; Bacteriovoracia; Bacteriovoracales; Bacteriovoracaceae.